RNAcentral lists this ribosomal RNA (649 nucleotides) under uncultured bacterium. RNAcentral describes it as "bacterial SSU rRNA". It matches the Rfam family "Bacterial small subunit ribosomal RNA", at positions 55 to 717 of the family's 1533-position model. The record is from RNAcentral.
AUGCAGUCGAACGGAGUCAGAGGAGCUUGCUUUUCUUGACUUAGUGGCGAACGGGUGAGUAACGCGUGAGUAACCUGCCCUGGAGUGGGGGACAACAGUUGGAAACGACUGCUAAUACCGCAUAAGCCCACGAUCCGGCAUCGGAUUGAGGGAAAAGGAUUUAUUCGCUUCAGGAUGGACUCGCGUCCAAUUAGCUAGUUGGUGAGGUAACGGCCCACCAAGGCGACGAUUGGUAGCCGGACUGAGAGGUUGAACGGCCACAUUGGGACUGAGACACGGCCCAGACUCCUACGGGAGGCAGCAGUGGGGGAUAUUGCACAAUGGGGGAAACCCUGAUGCAGCGACGCCGCGUGGAGGAAGAAGGUUUUCGGAUUGUAAACUCCUGUCGUUAGGGACGAUAAUGACGGUACCUAACAAGAAAGCACCGGCUAACUACGUGCCAGCAGCCGCGGUAAAACGUAGGGUGCAAGCGUUGUCCGGAAUUACUGGGUGUAAAGGGAGCGCAGGCGGACCGGCAAGUUGGAAGUGAAAACUAUGGGCUCAACCCAUAAAUUGCUUUCAAAACUGCUGGCCUUGAGUAGUGCAGAGGUAGGUGGAAUUCCCGGUGUAGCGGUGGAAUGCGUAGAUAUCGGGAGGAACACCAGUGGCG